ACUCCUACGGGAGGCAGCAGUGGGGAAUAUUGCACAAUGGGCGCAAGCCUGAUGCAGCGACGCCGCGUGGGGGAUGAAGGCCUUCGGGUUGUAAACUCCUUUCGCUAGGGACGAAGCUUUUUUGUGACGGUACCUAGAUAAGAAGCACCGGCUAACUACGUGCCAGCAGCCGCGGUAAUACGUAGGGUGCGAGCGUUGUCCGGAAUUACUGGGCGUAAAGGGCUCGUAGGUGGUUUGUCGCGUCGUCUGUGAAAUUCUGGGGCUUAACUCCGGGCGUGCAGGCGAUACGGGCAUAACUUGAGUGCUGUAGGGGUAACUGGAAUUCCUGGUGUAGCGGUGAAAUGCGCAGAUAUCAGGAGGAACACCGAUGGCGAAGGCAGGUUACUGGGCAGUUACUGACGCUGAGGAGCGAAAGCAUGGGUAGCGAACAGGAUUAGAAACCCUUGUAGUCCCAUGAU
This 458-nucleotide ribosomal RNA is filed under the name uncultured organism. RNAcentral describes it as "partial 16S ribosomal RNA". It matches the Rfam family "Bacterial small subunit ribosomal RNA", at positions 335 to 801 of the family's 1533-position model. The record is from RNAcentral.